ACCUGAUAGUUGCCUAAUCCUUAAAUAAUCUAAGGAACGGGGGAUGCAUCUUUUCUUGGGGUUAAUCAGCUUUAAUUUAAAGCAGUAGGGAUACCACUCAUCCCGAACCCGUCAGCUAACCUCGUAGGCAUUGAGAGGAGGAAAU
This 145-nucleotide small RNA is filed under the name Pseudobacteroides cellulosolvens. RNAcentral describes it as "c-di-AMP sequence". It matches the Rfam family "c-di-AMP riboswitch aptamer (ydaO/yuaA leader)". From Rfam's summary of the family: This family represents a conserved RNA structure found upstream of the ydaO and yuaA genes in Bacillus subtilis and related genes in other bacteria. The ydaO/yuaA element is thought to act as a genetic "off" switch for the ydaO and yuaA genes in its native state. Lineage: Bacteria; Bacillati; Bacillota; Clostridia; Eubacteriales; Oscillospiraceae. RNAcentral also lists the same sequence under 1 other name. The record is from RNAcentral.